Molecule: ribosomal RNA, 321 nt
Filed under: Triticum aestivum (bread wheat)
Lineage: Eukaryota; Viridiplantae; Streptophyta; Magnoliopsida; Poales; Poaceae
Description: partial small subunit ribosomal RNA
Source: RNAcentral
AUGUACUGUCAUUGGUUUACUUUAUUACUAGUCAAGCACACCGACGCGGCCAUCUCCUGUGGACAGGUGAGCUCUGCCUUGAGCCCCUGCAUCAGCUAUGCCCGCUGCAAGGGCGCCAACCCGCCUGCGGCCUGCAGCAGCGGCGUCAGGAGUCUGGCGGGCGCAGCGCGGAGCACCGCUGACAAGCAAGCGGCGUGCAAGUGCAUCAAGAGCGCUGCGGGUGGGCUCAAUGCUGGCAAGGCCGCCGGCAUUCCCUCCAAGUGUGACGUCAGCAUCCCCUACGCCAUCAGCUCUUCUGUCGACUGCUCUAAGAUUCGCUGA